UACGAAGGGGGCUAGCGUUGUUCGGAAUCACUGGGCGUAAAGCGCACGCAGGCGGAUCGAUAAGUCGGGGGUGAAGGCCCGGGGCUCAACCUCGGAAUUGCCUUCGAUACUGUCGGUCUCGAGUCCGGGAGAGGUGAGUGGAAUUCCUAGUGUAGAGGUGAAAUUCGUAGAUAUUGGGAAGAACACCGGUGGCGAAGGCGGCCACCUGGCUCGGUACUGACGCUCAGGUGCGAAAGCGUGGGGAGCAAACAGG
RNAcentral lists this ribosomal RNA (253 nucleotides) under uncultured bacterium. RNAcentral's name for it is "partial 16S ribosomal RNA". It matches the Rfam family "Bacterial small subunit ribosomal RNA", at positions 524 to 776 of the family's 1533-position model. The record is from RNAcentral.